Non-coding RNA from Melanotaenia boesemani (Boeseman's rainbowfish), 73 nucleotides. Lineage: Eukaryota; Metazoa; Chordata; Actinopteri; Atheriniformes; Melanotaeniidae. The record is from the annotation of a RefSeq genome assembly.
GCCGAAAUAGCUCAGCUGGGAGAGCGUCAGACUGAAGCUCUGAUGGUCCCUCAUUCGAUUACGGGUUUCGGCA